UACGGGAGGGGCAAGCGUUGUUCGGAAUUACUGGGCGUAAAGGGCUCGUAGGCGGCCAACUAAGUCCGACGUGAAAUCCCCAGGCUUAACCUGGGAACUGCGUCGGAUACUGGAUGGCUUGAAUCCGGGAGAGGGAUGCGGAAUUCCAGGUGUAGCGGUGAAAUGCGUAGAUAUCUGGAGGAACACCGGUGGCGAAGGCGGCAUCCUGGACCGGCAUUGACGCUGAGGAGCGAAAGCCAGGGGAGCAAACGGG
Molecule: ribosomal RNA, 253 nt
Filed under: uncultured bacterium
Lineage: Bacteria
Description: partial 16S ribosomal RNA
Rfam family: Bacterial small subunit ribosomal RNA
Source: RNAcentral